RNAcentral lists this transfer RNA (100 nucleotides) under Hypoxylon rubiginosum. RNAcentral describes it as "tRNA-His". It matches the Rfam family "tRNA". From Rfam's summary of the family: Transfer RNA (tRNA) molecules are approximately 80 nucleotides in length. Their secondary structure includes four short double-helical elements and three loops (D, anti-codon, and T loops). Further hydrogen bonds mediate the characteristic L-shaped molecular structure. tRNAs have two regions of fundamental functional importance: the anti-codon, which is responsible for specific mRNA codon recognition, and the 3' end, to which the tRNAs corresponding amino acid is attached (by aminoacyl-tRNA synthetases). tRNAs cope with the degeneracy of the genetic code in two manners: having more than one tRNA (with a specific anti-codon) for a particular amino acid; and 'wobble' base-pairing, i.e. permitting non-standard base-pairing at the 3rd anti-codon position. The record is from RNAcentral. Lineage: Eukaryota; Fungi; Ascomycota; Sordariomycetes; Xylariales; Hypoxylaceae.
GGUGCCAUCGUCUAGUGGUAGGACAACACGUUGUGGUUUACGAGCUGCCCGCUCUGAGACAACAUCCGUGUAAACGACGGUUCGAUCCCGUCUGGCGCCA